CCUUCCCACAGCUACGAAGGAAUGGUUUUACUACUGAACCAGUAAUUGAAUAUAUCCAGCUGUACAGCAAUGCUACAACGCAGUCAUGUACCAAAGGAUGAUGCAUUUCUAUGCUUUGUUAUCCAAAGUCUUUUUUUAAUAGAUAUCAACCAUUAAGAAGCAGGAAAGUUUAGAGAUUGAUCUGUCAGUCCGAAUGGAAACUGUAGCUGCUAAGACACCCUCAUAAUAUCCCAGUGUUUUGCAGAGUGCCUCAUGCAAGCUCUGCAGUCGCACUUCAUAAAGCAUCUCCAUAGACCAUCUCCUGGCAGCGUCACUGCACUUCCCUUAAUACAAACACUUUUAAAAUGCCUCUUAGGCUUUUCCUUCCCUUCCGUGCUCACUCUCCUGCUCCUCAGGAAAAAGUCUUUUGGUUUGAAAGGAGAAUAGUACAGACCCGUCACUCAUUAUUUCAAGUUCACUGAUUCAUUUUAGAGUCAUUUCUUCCGCUUCUGCUUUAUGUCUUUAGUCUUCUUAAACUUCUUCUGCUGCUUGUGUCCUCUUACCGUUUCUAGUUUUCUUUUCUUCUCACUUUUCACACUGACGAUGGAAGCGUUCUGUCCUGCUUUGCUCAGCACCUCAUUCCAUUCUUCAUCAUCACCCCGGAUAAUAUAUUGUGUAAGGUCCAUUUCCUUCAGCUUCCCCACUUCUUGCUUGUGUUUUUCUUGGAAUUCCUUUGCAGCUUCUUCCAAAUCAUCAUUUAAAGAUUUGAUUGUUGGCUCCAUUACAAUAUCCUUUGUUGCUACCA
RNAcentral lists this long non-coding RNA (784 nucleotides) under Gallus gallus (chicken). The record is from RNAcentral. Lineage: Eukaryota; Metazoa; Chordata; Aves; Galliformes; Phasianidae.